GAACUCAAUUGACCAGGGACCGAGCUCCCACUGCUUACCUGAGUUGCCUUUAUUGCAGGUGUUUCUCAUUCCUGCUCUCAUCUCACACCAUCCCGCCCCCACCAACAUGGGAGAGCAGCAGUGUUCACCGAACUGCAGGGCCUUUCUAGACCUUCCUAGACCUUCCUUCUGGAAUCCCAAAUUGGGUCCAAGCUCUGUCCACCACUGGAGAUCAGACUCCCUGGACAAUAUACAGUGAACCUGCUGGGAAGGUCUGCCAGAAGCUGGCCAGCACAAUGACGGUUGCGCCUCCAAGGUAAGGACUCUUCCUGUG
Molecule: long non-coding RNA, 313 nt
Organism: Bos indicus x Bos taurus (hybrid cattle)
Lineage: Eukaryota; Metazoa; Chordata; Mammalia; Artiodactyla; Bovidae
Source: Ensembl